UGCUAUAUAUUUGACAUGAAACCCUCAACAAUACCCACUCAGAUUGUUUGCAAUACUGAAGACAGAUAAUGCCUUUGAUUAAGUCACAGUCUUCAUAUCCUAAUUGCAUUUCUUUGUGGCCAGAACAAAGAAUUUCAAGGAAGGGAUAUCUGAGUUUCAGCAGAAAGGCUGAAGCUUUCACAUUGGAAAACAUCAUGCUUGGCAAUUUUGCAUGCAAAACCAUAUCUAAUGUCUAUUGCCUAAAACUGGCUACAAAAACCAGAGGGAAGGAAUUAAAGGUAGCCACUUCCAAAAGAUCACUGGCGAGAAGUUUCGAAUUACUUGAUGCCUAUGAAGAUGAAUAUGAUGGGACUGUAAUCGAUCCUGAAUGCUUGCCAGGCAGUGCCAAUGCAUUUGCAGCCAUUCUUCAAUCUUCACUUCUUAUUGGAAGUUAAAGGGGAAGAAAGGGAUUUGGCUGAAAAUACUAGAAGAGCAAGCUGAACUUGUUCCAAUUGCACUCAA
Non-coding RNA from Phoenix dactylifera (date palm), 501 nucleotides. The record is from RefSeq and is a predicted model, not a curated record. NCBI's taxonomy places the organism in Eukaryota, Viridiplantae, Streptophyta, Magnoliopsida, Arecales, Arecaceae.